This 596-nucleotide long non-coding RNA is filed under the name Setaria viridis. RNAcentral describes it as "long non-coding RNA (SVIR_LNC003170)". Lineage: Eukaryota; Viridiplantae; Streptophyta; Magnoliopsida; Poales; Poaceae. The record is from RNAcentral.
CUUAAAUUCAAUGUUUUCUGCAAUUGAGUUGCAUUCUUCCUUGCCCUUGGUUGUGAUCUCGAUUUGCAUGCAGGGGAUAGCCUUCGUGGUGUGGUCAACCGAGCUGUGCAGGGUUGAUAGCCAAAGGAGAAGUGGUGCUUCGAUUGCGGGUUUCGGAUCUUGCUAAUUAGAAGCCGGAUCGAGUGUGUUGUUUCUCCACUAUAUCAAGAGUUACCCUCACCUGACGGAAGAUCGGGCACCCUAGUUCCCAUCAAGUGGUAGUACCGACUUACCCUAGUUUAGUUUGUUUUCACCUUCAUCCAACAAUCCAUGAAAAAUCCAAAAAAAAAUCGUAGUCAUAUUUUCGUGUCCUACAACCUUUUGCUUAACCUUUGCACAAUUUGGAUUCGGAGUCCGCAGUUCUGAGUUUGUGUCCUUAGGUCGAGUCUGGUUGCUAGUUUAGAUUGUUCCUGUUUUGUUUUUGUUUCAUCAAUCCGUCCGCUGCCAUCCCCAUCCACAAUACCCCCCCGGAAAUCCACUCAAAACCCUGAUUCAGAGGUGCUUUCUUAAAAUGGCCAUAACUUUUCGCUAUAGUCUUGAAAUCAGGCAAUUUUUUU